AUGUAGUGUUUCCCUAUAAAUAAUCACAUAAGGAGCUAUGAGAUGGACGUGUCCUUGCUAGAAAAGCAGGAAGCAACAGAUGUCUUGAGGGGUGAAAUUCUUCGGGUAUAAUCCAACAGUUGACCAGUUGACUAGACAGAUGAGCAAGUUGCUUGGUAUAAAAGAUUCUGAUGGCGAAGAGAAAAGUUGUGCUUCUAGAGAUCCUCCAUGGAUAUGGUGCUUCUUAAUGUGCUAUUAUUUGGACAAAAAAGAUCCAUGGGGGAGUAGGAGGUAUAGGAUAAUCGACACCCGCUUGGUUGAUUGAAGAAAGAAGACCUUUCUAUCAUGUGACAUUUUGUAAAUACUGCACUCUUCUUCAAGUGACAGACCAAAUGCUAAUUGCGAAUAACACUUUGUAAUGGUGACAUGGGUAGUUAGUCAUGUAAUAUCCUCGAAUUUGGCUUAUCUAGAAGUGAAGAUUGAAGGGGUA
Asparagus officinalis (garden asparagus) is the source of this 469-nucleotide long non-coding RNA. RefSeq lists it as uncharacterized. The record is from RefSeq and is a predicted model, not a curated record. Lineage: Eukaryota; Viridiplantae; Streptophyta; Magnoliopsida; Asparagales; Asparagaceae. The transcript has 2 exons.